This 450-nucleotide ribosomal RNA is filed under the name uncultured bacterium. Its description in RNAcentral is "partial 16S ribosomal RNA". It matches the Rfam family "Bacterial small subunit ribosomal RNA", at positions 354 to 796 of the family's 1533-position model. RNAcentral also lists the same sequence under 1 other name. The record is from RNAcentral.
GUAGGGAAUCUUCCACAAUGGACGAAAGUCUGAUGGAGCAACGCCGCGUGAACGAUGAAGGCCUUCGGGUCGUAAAGUUCUGUUGUAAGGGAAGAACAAGUGCCGCAGGCAAUGGCGGCACCUUGACGGUACCUUGCGAGAAAGCCACGGCUAACUACGUGCCAGCAGCCGCGGUAAUACGUAGGUGGCAAGCGUUGUCCGGAAUUAUUGGGCGUAAAGCGCGCGCAGGCGGCCUCUUAAGUCUGAUGUGAAAGCCCCCGGCUCAACCGGGGAGGGCCAUUGGAAACUGGGAGGCUUGAGUAUAGGAGAGAAGAGUGGAAUUCCACGUGUAGCGGUGAAAUGCGUAGAGAUGUGGAGGAACACCAGUGGCGAAGGCGACUCUUUGGCCUAUAACUGACGCUGAGGCGCGAAAGCGUGGGGAGCAAACAGGAUUAGAAACCCGAGUAGUCC